AUUCACUAGUUGUGGACGGAAUGGCCGAUGCCGGGACUGUGACCGGGAUCCGUCGGCCUGAAGUCGUCUGUUUCAGCUUGUGGCAGUAAUGGUGAAUAUUCUUCUACUGGACCUGGGUUUGCAGCUCCAAUGUUUUCGACAUGUGCAAGAGCUUCU
Telopea speciosissima is the source of this 156-nucleotide long non-coding RNA. RefSeq lists it as uncharacterized. The record is from RefSeq and is a predicted model, not a curated record. NCBI's taxonomy places the organism in Eukaryota, Viridiplantae, Streptophyta, Magnoliopsida, Proteales, Proteaceae. The transcript is spliced from 3 exons.